RNAcentral lists this ribosomal RNA (465 nucleotides) under uncultured bacterium. RNAcentral describes it as "partial 16S ribosomal RNA". It matches the Rfam family "Bacterial small subunit ribosomal RNA", at positions 28 to 507 of the family's 1533-position model. The record is from RNAcentral.
GACGAACGCUGGCGGCGUGCUUAACACAUGCAAGUCGAACGGAAAGGCCCUGCUUGCAGGGUACUCGAGUGGCGAACGGGUGAGUAACACGUGGGUGAUCUGCCCUGCACUUCGGGAUAAGCCUGGGAAACUGGGUCUAAUACCGGAUAGGAGCCAUUUUUAGUGUGAUGGUUGGAAAGUUUUUUCGGUGUAGGAUGAGCUCGCGGCCUAUCAGCUUGUUGGUGGGGUAAUGGCCUACCAAGGCGGCGACGGGUAGCCGGCCUGAGAGGGUGGACGGCCACAUUGGGACUGAGAUACGGCCCAGACUCCUACGGGAGGCAGCAGUGGGGAAUAUUGCACAAUGGGCGCAAGCCUGAUGCAGCAACGCCGCGUGGGGGAGGACGGCCUUCGGGUUGUAAACUCCUUUCGCUAGGGACGAAGCUUUUUGUGACGGUACCUAGAGAAGAAGCACCGGCUAACUACGUG